This is a long non-coding RNA of Jaculus jaculus (lesser Egyptian jerboa), 1299 nucleotides long. RefSeq lists it as uncharacterized. The record is from RefSeq and is a predicted model, not a curated record. NCBI's taxonomy places the organism in Eukaryota, Metazoa, Chordata, Mammalia, Rodentia, Dipodidae. The transcript is spliced from 2 exons.
GCCCAUUGUACUCACGCUGAGGGGGGCUGGGGGGGGCUGCAGGCCUUCUCUACCGUUGGGUUUAUCAGCCGGGCCCUAGGUGACCUUUGGACUUGCGAAGCGAGAGGCUUGCGGCCUAGGUGGGGGGCUUUUCCGCUGGCGGCGGCGGGGUCGGCUUUAGUCCAGAAAGAAGACACUGCGCUUCCGGGGUCCAGUUCCUCUUCGCAGUGUCCCCCAUCUGCGAUGCGGGGAGCCAGAGACUCGCUCUGCAAAAGACAAGGUCGCCUGCAGCUGCCCCGAGUCUUGAAGGCCGCGUAGAGAAGGCACCCAGGAAGCCGUUGAAGGAAAAGGUGUUUUUUCUUUCUUCCCCUUCUCACUUAAGCCUGGCUGGGAAGGAAGCCAUGGGCCUUUCAGCGCCAUGGGAGUUUCUACCACAUCUCCCUGGGGACCCCCGAGGGGGAAAGAAGGAGACACAAGCGCACCCACACUUCCAGGCCCGGCCCUGGCUUGUACAAGAGCAGUGGUGACCAGUGACAGGCUCCUUAGAUCCACAGUUCAGAGACAAGUAACGCCAGGACAGACACCACGCCUUGCCCUCUUAGAGCCUUAGGAUCCUAAUAACCAAUUCUAAACAACUGAGUGAGACCACCAGGGAAAACAAACCACAGGUCCAACAACUAGUGUUCAUACUUUCCAGUCUGUGAAAGCAGGAGACCAGUUCCCAGCGGGAAAUCCUGGAAGCUGAGAAACCUUGAGCUCCGGAGCUGGGCUUGAAGGGUCUGGGCACAUCAUAGACAUUCAGAAUCAGCAGGAAGAAUGCCAAGGAACUUUUGAGCACAUUUUUCUAUCGUUUCCACUUUCAAAGAUAGUUAGGAAGACCCUGGGGCUAGGUUAGGAAUAGAAAGGAAGUUUAGCAUCGAGGAAGAAGGGUCUAGCGGUUUUCCUCUGCUAGAUACAGGAUCAAAUGUCUUGGAUAUGUCAAGGCUGACGUCAUCUGCGCAGGACAGGCUGCCAAGAGUGAGGGUACCUCUUUGGAGGACUGGGUGGGUUCCAGGUGCCUGGGUUCACCUGUGGGAACCCUGGAGAAGGACGGGGUGGCUGUGUGUGAGUGUGUGAGGAGUCCUUCUAAAGGUUUCCACCUUUACCUGUCAAAGGAGUCUUAAGUUCAUGGAAAUAAAGAUCCUUCAUGUCACCUUCUUGCUUUCUAGGUUGUUGUGACAUAUGGUAGAUCCUUGCCACUUGUAAUUCUACCCAGUAGGAAAACUCUUGGCCUCCCCAUCACCAUUCAAACAGGAUAAUAAAGUGUUCAGAGUAAAUGUC